RNAcentral lists this ribosomal RNA (385 nucleotides) under Baetis rhodani. RNAcentral's name for it is "partial 16S ribosomal RNA". It matches the Rfam family "Bacterial large subunit ribosomal RNA", at positions 1891 to 2488 of the family's 2925-position model. Lineage: Eukaryota; Metazoa; Arthropoda; Insecta; Ephemeroptera; Baetidae. The record is from RNAcentral.
CGCCCGUAGCUUUUCUUAUGGGUACCGCCUGCCCACUGAUUAUUUUAACGGCCGCAGUAUUUUGACUGUGCAAAGGUAGCAUAAUCAUUUGUCCCCUAAUUAGGGGCUGGAAUGAAUGGAUUAACGAGGUGGGAGCUGUUUCAGUAAUUAAAUUUAACUUAAUCUUUAAGUCAAAAAGCUUAAAUAUCAACGCAGGACGAGAAGACCCCGUAGAUCUUUAUAUAGAAAUUUUUACUAAACAUUGAAGCUUAAAUCGUGAAAUGUGAAUAUAUUUAGUUGGGGUGACACGAAGUCAUAAACACUUUUUUAGACACAAAAAUUUAAGGAUGAAUGACCCGGUUAGCCGAUCAAAAAAUUAAGUUACCUGGGGAUAACAGCGUAACCU